UGGUGGAGCGAUUUGUCUGGUUAAUUCCGAUAACGAACGAGACUCUAGCCUGCUAAAUAGACGCAUGAUCGACAUCUUAAAGGCCCGUAUCGGUCCGGGGCGGUCCGCCGUCUCGGUCCAGGCGCGGUUUUUACUGUCGGCGUACAAUAAAUUCUUCUUAGAGGGACAGGCGGCUUCUAGCCGCACGAGAUUGAGCAAUAACA
RNAcentral lists this ribosomal RNA (203 nucleotides) under uncultured eukaryote. RNAcentral's name for it is "partial 18S ribosomal RNA". It matches the Rfam family "Eukaryotic small subunit ribosomal RNA", at positions 1299 to 1458 of the family's 1831-position model. The record is from RNAcentral.